CGGACGGGUGAGUAACGCGUGGGGAACCUGCCCUGUACAGGGGGAUAACACUUAGAAAUAGGUGCUAAUACCGCAUAAGCGCACAGUAUCGCAUGAUACAGUGUGAAAAACUCCGGUGGUACAGGAUGGACCCGCGUCUGAUUAGCUGGUUGGCGGGGUAACGGCCCACCAAGGCGACGAUCAGUAGCCGGCCUGAGAGGGCGGACGGCCACAUUGGGACUGAGACACGGCCCAGACUCCUACGGAAGGCAGCAG
RNAcentral lists this ribosomal RNA (255 nucleotides) under uncultured bacterium. RNAcentral describes it as "partial 16S ribosomal RNA". It matches the Rfam family "Bacterial small subunit ribosomal RNA", at positions 99 to 354 of the family's 1533-position model. The record is from RNAcentral.